GGCAACGACGAGACGGACAGGGAUUUCCAGGCGUGCGCCCGGGGGCCACUGGAGACCUGCCCCACAAAGCGGAGGAAAAGCCAAGCGCUCCUGAAAACCUGCGAGGCAGGGCCUGUGCGCGAGUCCAGGCCACAUUCAGGGAGGCCCGCCAGAGGAGCCCAGAGCUUUGGACCAAGUACACCCCACCCCCACGCCGCUACCGCUUAGGUACCCCUGACGCAACCUCCCCUGCAUAUCCAUUGUAUGCCUGUAUCAAAAACAGCUCAUGUAUCACAUAAAUAUAUAUAUCUACUAUGUACCCACACAAAUUGAAAAUUAAAACUUAAAAAAAACAAAUUACAAAUGUCCUGUAUUUCAAAACUUAUAUAAUAUAGAUUGUAGUUCAAACUUCUUUAGAUAGUGUAUUCUGCAUGUAGCUAAAUGCUGUCUACAUGGUCUAUGCAAAAAUAUUUUUAAAUUUAAUGUAUAAGAAGACAACUGCAUUAACAAGACAUUCAAUCAAAAACUUUAGUAUAAAAUAAACGUUGACCUUAAAACUGAGGAACAGCCUCCCAAAGUGCUGGGAUUACAAUAUGUUUUAGAGUCAACUGCAUAGUUCAUAUUAACAUCAUCUUUUUGUUAGAAAACAUAUUUCAAUUGCUUUAGAAAAACAAGACUGUUUGUGUAUAUGAAUAUACCUGUGUAUGUAUGUAUAGGUUUGUGUGCAUGUGUGUGUGUGUACAAGUCUUAAAAUGUCAGUAUUGUUUGUCUUAAGAACUGAAACUUAGCUAAAUUCCAUGGAGGUCUGAGCAACAAAAGCCAAAAUUGACAAAUGGGAUCUAAUUAAACUAAAGAGCAUCUGCACGGCAAAAGAAACUACCAUCAGAAUGAAUGGGCAACCUACAGAAUGGGAGAAAAUUUUUGCAAUCUACUCAUCUGACAAAGGGCUAAUAUCCAGAAUCUACAAUGAACUCAAACAAAUUUACAAGAAAAAAACAAACAACCCCAUCAACAAGUGGGCGAAGGAUAUGAACAGACACUUCUCAAAAGAAGACAUUUUAUGCAGCCAAAAGACACAUGAAAAAAUGCUCAUCAUCACUGGCCAUCAGAGAAAUGCAAAUCAAAACCACAAUGAGAUCUCAUCUUACACCAGUUAGAAUGGUGAUCAUUAAAAAGUCAGGAAACAACAUGUGCUGGAGAGGAUGUGGGAAAUAGGAACACUUUAACACUGUUGGUGGGACUGUAAACUAGUUCAACCAUUGUGGAAGUCAGUGUGAUGAUUCCUCAAGGAUCUGGAACUAGAAAUACCAUUUGACUGGCCAUCCCAGUACUGGGUAUAUACCCAAAGGAAUAUAAAUCAUGCUGCUAUAAAGACACAUGCACACAUAUGUUUACUGCAGCACUACUCACAAUAGCAAAGACUUGGAAUAAACCCUAAUGUCUACCAAUGAUGGACUGGAUUGAGAAAAUGUGGCACAUAUACACCAUGGAAUACUAUGCAGCCAUAAAAAUGAUGAGUUCAUGUCCUUUGUAGGGACAUGGAUGAAGCUGGAAACCAUCAUUCUCAGCAAACUGUUGCAAAGACAAAAAACCAAACAGCCCAUGUUCUCACUCAUAGGUGGGAAUUGAACAAUGAGAACACUUGGACACAGGAAGGGGAACAUCACACACCAGGGCCUGUUGUGGGGUAGGGGGAGUGUGGAGGGAUAGCAUUAGGAGAUAUACCUAAUGUAAAUGAUGAGUUAAUGGGUGCAGCACACCAACAUGGCACAUGUAUACAUAUGUAACAAACCUGCACGUUGUGCACAUGUACCCUAGAACUUAAAGUAUAAUAAAUAUAUAUAUAAAAGAAUUAAAAGACAGUACAUUUCUAUUGUUUAAUGUACUGUCUUACAGUUCUUGAGGAUUAUGAUAGCCCUGGCAAAUUAUUGCUUCUUCAAGAGGGAAAAAAAGGGUUUAUUUCUACACUUGAAAAUGAUGCCGCUUACACAGGGAAGCAGUAGACAUACAAAAUCAGUUUUUGACUCAAAAAGUGUUGAAAGAGGAUAAGCCUUAAUCUUAUUUGAAUAAAUACAUAGAACAAAAUGUGCUGAUUUUAGAUGUGUAAAUAAAGUGAAUAGAAGGAAUAAAGAUUUUACUUCAUUGAUGCAGAGUUCAAAUAAGUGUAUUGCCUUCUAUUUCUGGUUAUAAAGCCUAAUGAAUUAUCAACACUAUUUGCAUUUUCACAAUAUUCCUAAGUUGAGUACAUCUCCUUUUCUGGAAUACUUCAUUUGUUAUCCUUUUUACAUUGUAAAAGUUGAUAUAAACAUCUUAAUUUUAUUCAUGUAAACAGGCAUGUCCAUUUUGUUUUAUAUUUUGACCUCAAGUGAUAUUCAUUCUUUUAGUCUUUGCAUUUUUUAUAGCAGUGUAUUUCUAAGAACUAAUACAAUAAACAAUGCUAUUAAAAUUUAAAAAAUAUCUACUAAAGACAUUAGAACUAUCAAACUAGGAAACACUUGCAAAACUGGAUUUUAAGGAAAAGAGAGUCAAGCCAAUAUUUGGCAAUGUUUUUCUUCUAAAGGACAUUUUCUAUUUGAAAGCAAAUGAGAGGCUGAGAAA
RNAcentral lists this long non-coding RNA (2577 nucleotides) under Homo sapiens (human). Its description in RNAcentral is "non-protein coding lnc-PCDH10-13:1". The record is from RNAcentral. Lineage: Eukaryota; Metazoa; Chordata; Mammalia; Primates; Hominidae.